CCCUUAGAUGUCCGGGGCCGCACGCGCGCUACACUGAAGGAAUCAGCGUGGCUUUCUCCCUGACCCGAAAGGGUUGGGAAACCCGUUGAAUGUCCUUCGUGAUAGGGAUUGGGGCUUGAAAUUGUUCCCCAUGAACGAGGAAUUCCCAGUAAGCGCGAGUCAUAAGCUCGCGUUGAUUACGUCCCUGCCCUUUGUACACACCGCCCGUCGCUACUACCGAUUGAACGGUUUAGUGAGGGCCUCGGAUUGGUCUCGGCCCGCUCUUUACCGGGCGGCGCCGUUGGUCGAGAAGACGCUCGAACUUGAUCGUUUAGAGGAAGUAAAAGUCGUAACA
Molecule: ribosomal RNA, 334 nt
Filed under: uncultured eukaryote
Lineage: Eukaryota
Description: partial 18S ribosomal RNA
Rfam family: Eukaryotic small subunit ribosomal RNA
Source: RNAcentral